Molecule: ribosomal RNA, 657 nt
Filed under: Salmonella enterica subsp. enterica serovar Typhimurium
Lineage: Bacteria; Pseudomonadati; Pseudomonadota; Gammaproteobacteria; Enterobacterales; Enterobacteriaceae
Description: bacterial LSU rRNA
Rfam family: Bacterial large subunit ribosomal RNA
Source: RNAcentral
ACCGUGUACGUACAAGCAGUGGGAGCACAGGUUUACCGGUGUGACUGCGUACCUUUUGUAUAAUGGGUCAGCGACUUAUAUUCUGUAGCAAGGUUAACCGUAUAGGGGAGCCGGAGGGAAACCGAGUCUUAACCGGGCGUUAAGUUGCAGGGUAUAGACCCGAAACCCGGUGAUCUAGCCAUGGGCAGGUUGAAGGUUGGGUAACACUAACUGGAGGACCGAACCGACUAAUGUUGAAAAAUUAGCGGAUGACCUGUGGCUGGGGGUGAAAGGCCAAUCAAACCGGGAGAUAGCUGGUUCUCCCCGAAAGCUAUUUAGGUAGCGCCUCGUGAAUUCAUCUCCGGGGGUAGAGCACUGUUUCGGCUAGGGGGCCAUCCCGGCUUACCAACCCGAUGCAAACUGCGAAUACCGGAGAAUGUUAUCACGGGAGACACACGGCGGGUGCUAACGUCCGUCGUGAAGAGGGAAACAACCCAGACCGCCAGCUAAGGUCCCAAAGUCAUGGUUAAGUGGGAAACGAUGUGGGAAGGCCCAGACAGCCAGGAUGUUGGCUUAGAAGCAGCCAUCAUUUAAAGAAAGCGUAAUAGCUCACUGGUCGAGUCGGCCUGCGCGGAAGAUGUAACGGGGCUAAACCAUGCACCGAAGCUGCGGCAGCGA